RNAcentral lists this ribosomal RNA (253 nucleotides) under uncultured bacterium. RNAcentral describes it as "partial 16S ribosomal RNA". It matches the Rfam family "Bacterial small subunit ribosomal RNA", at positions 524 to 776 of the family's 1533-position model. The record is from RNAcentral.
UACGAAGGGGGCUAGCGUCGCUCGGAAUCACUGGGCGUAAAGCGCACGUAGGCGGAUUGCUAAGUCAGGGGUGAAAUCCUGGAGCUCAACUCCAGAACUGCCUUUGAUACUGGCGAUCUUGAGUCCGGGAGAGGUGAGUGGAACUGCGAGUGUAGAGGUGAAAUUCGUAGAUAUUCGCAAGAACACCAGUGGCGAAGGCGGCUCACUGGCCCGGUACUGACGCUGAGGUGCGAAAGCGUGGGGAGCAAACAGG